This is an RNA transcript of Zophobas morio, 2473 nucleotides long. It is a transcript of the gene named LIM domain transcription factor LMO4.1, with no coding region annotated. The record is from RefSeq and is a predicted model, not a curated record. The transcript is spliced from 8 exons. Lineage: Eukaryota; Metazoa; Arthropoda; Insecta; Coleoptera; Tenebrionidae.
AAGAGUGCUUCUUGACGCUUCCACCGUGGACGCCACACGGACGCGCUUCGCACCAGGUGAGCGCUCGGGACCGAUUCGACCCGACCCCGCACGAACGCCGUUCAUGGCCUGCCGCGACGAAAGGCCGCUCAGUUGCUUCCAGGCCUGUGAAGGGUAGUGAUACUCGCAGGCGCUCUGGCUCUAUAUCGACCGCGUGUUUCUUGCCACUGGGAAAUUUGACUGCGAAUUUCGAGUGUGACUGUGUCUGUUUGUGCCGACUCUGACGUAGUAUAUCCGUGCAUAACUGUUCUGUGUUUGCUGCAACUUCAGAAAUUCGUAGCCGCCACCAAGGCGAACUAGACUGGAGUGAAAUGCUCGCAGGACAAAACGAUUUGAACCAUUGCUAGAAUUGUUGUGGGGGAUAUUUUAGAGCGACUUUCUGUCACGCCGCCACUGAUUCAUAACUUGGAUUCGUGCAAGGGUUAUAGUUACUGCACAUAAGAUAAAACGAUCACCGUGCCUCUAUGAAUUCUUCAGUCAAGGGUGGGUGGUGAGAUCCUUUGCAAGAGUUCUGAUAUCGUGAAAGUUCUUGGAUAGAUCAUUUUUGUGUUAAAAGUGGGCGCUCCUGAAGGCGCUAUUACCGGCAAACUGGCAGCCAGCGCCCUAGCCGCUAUGAACCCUCACUACCACUCCUACGGAGGUCCGGAGCUGACGUCUCCGCACCCUCCGUCGCCAGACAACAACAACUACCACGCUCAUCCGGGACCUGGAGGACCUCAACUGCGCAUGCAUCAGUCAAAUGGACACGGAAUAGGUCCUCUAGGUCAUCCCAGCGGUCCCCAUGAUGGCCACCCUCACAAUCAUCACCCACACCCCCCGUUCGGCGGCCCACAAUCAGAUGGUCCUCAUCAUCAGCAUCAUAAUCCAAAUAUCAAUAAUAACAAUAAUAACGGCACGGUGAAAGUAUGUGCAGGGUGCGGUGGUAAAAUAGUGGAACGUUUCCUUCUGCACGCGUUAGAUCGCUAUUGGCACAAUAGCUGUUUGAAGUGUUCGUGUUGCGCGGCUAUGUUAGCAGACAUCGGGACAUCGUGCUUCACAAAAGGUGGAAUGAUCCUCUGCAAAACGGACUAUACGAGGUUAUUUGGAAACUCAGGAGCGUGUUCAGCGUGCGGCCAAAUGAUUCCAGCUAGUGAAUUUGUCAUGAGAUCAGGAGGACCAUCGCCUCAACAACCUGGAGCGCCCCCUCACGUUUUCCACCUCAAAUGUUUUGUGUGUAGCAAGUGUGGCGCCCCCCUAGUACAAGGUGAUCGCUACUACAUGCUAUCAGGAAGUCUCGUUUGUGAACAAGACUGGCACAAGUUACUUAAAAGUUCGGCCGCCACACCUACGGUUCGCAAAGGGAAAGUGGGAAGGCCUCGUCGGAGCCGCGACUGAAUAGAGCCGUACAUUCACGCUGUCCCAGCACUUGAUGAUUGAUGACUGUCAUUUCACAUGAGACGCCAAUGGUCAUAGUUCCCAGUUAACAGAAAAUGACCCGUGGUUUGACGCCGCAACAUACAUCGAUAAUGGGACAUCCCUACCUCCUCCAGAAUAGUUUCCUGCCACUGGCUAUGAUGAAUGAAGUCAGGUUUUCCUAUGGACAACGAAACUUCUUGUACAGUGAUAAUCACGAGUGAUGGGUUGCAAGUCCCGCUCUUUUUGUAAAAUAUGACGCGUGAAAGUCGGACUUCCACCGAAGCAGUGUACAAAUUUUGUUAGAAAUAAAUAUAUAGUGUUAUCCGAACUUUGUUAUGCGAGAAUUAACGGUCUCAAGCCAUACUCUAUGACGACGUAGCUAAUGGGACUCAAUUCAGUGUACUUAACAUGUUGAAGUUUGUUGUAGAGCGCGAAUGUGAGCGCGGAUGUCAACCACUUUUUUAUUGUGUAAAUAGUUUUAAAAUAAGGAUUGCAAUAAGGCGCUGAUAUUACAAGGGAAAUAAUGGAAAAAAUGUAAAUGAUAUUUAUGUACAUCACGUCGACGGAUUUCACUUCUAUGGAGAGAUCCAGAGUUUUCCGCGAUCUUGCCCCGAGCUGAAAUUUUGUGAUUAUAUUGUAUAAAUUAUUGUAUUAUGGUUUUAUUUCUCGUUGCUCUUGUUGUUACUAGUUAAUAUUUUUAAUUAUUCUUGAUUGAUAUUUGUUUUAUUUUGUGCACUCGAGAAUCUCUCGGUUUUUUAACCCGGACAUUGUUGUUCUUUAAUUUGGAAAUCUCUUGUUAAAAGUACUGAAGGAAAACUCCUCUGCUCAUACAAUGUUUACUUCGUUAAAACUUAAAAUUGUGUGCAAUAAACCAAAACUCCUGCCCCAAACACUCAGUCACAUCUGUAAUAAACUUCAUCAUUCUCACCUUGUUUCACUUUUAAUAAAGGUCAUACACUGAAAUGAUUUGCUCAAAUAUUUCUAUAUCAAAGUUUUGUUUCAUUCUGUGUGCAUUCCACAAUAAAACGAAUUUAAUUCA